This 141-nucleotide ribosomal RNA is filed under the name Drosophila pachea. RNAcentral's name for it is "partial 16S ribosomal RNA". The record is from RNAcentral. Lineage: Eukaryota; Metazoa; Arthropoda; Insecta; Diptera; Drosophilidae.
UUAGAUUAUAUUUAUUAAUUUAUAUUAUUUUAUUUCAAAUAUUAAAAAUAAUUAUAAAAUAAAAAGUUUUAGUAUUGUUUAAAGAAAAAAUAAUUUUAAUAAUAGUUUAAUAGUAUUGUAAAAGAAAAUUGAAAUAAUUUG